Molecule: ribosomal RNA, 465 nt
Filed under: Vreelandella stevensii
Lineage: Bacteria; Pseudomonadati; Pseudomonadota; Gammaproteobacteria; Oceanospirillales; Halomonadaceae
Description: partial 16S ribosomal RNA
Rfam family: Bacterial small subunit ribosomal RNA
Source: RNAcentral
CCUACGGGAGGCAGCAGUGGGGAAUAUUGGACAAUGGGGGUAACCCUGAUCCAGCCAUGCCGCGUGUGGGAAGAAGGCCCUCGGGGUGUAAAGCACUUUCAGUGAGGAAGAACGCCUGGUGGUUAAUACCCAUCAGGAAAGACAGCACUCACAGAAGAAGCACCGGCUAACUCCGUGCCAGCAGCCGCUGUAAUACGGAGGGUGCGAGCGUUAAUCGGAAUUACUGGGCGUAAAGCGCGCGUAGGUGGCUUGAUAAGCCGGUUGUGAAAGCCCCGGGCUCAACCUGGGAACGGCAUCCGGAACUGUCAAGCUAGAGUGCAGGAGAGGAAGGUAGAAUUCCCGGUGUAGCGGUGAAAUGCGUAGAGAUCGGGAGGAAUACCAGUGGCGAAGGCGGCCUUCUGGACUGAAACUGACGCUGAGGUGCGAAAGCGUGGGUAGCGAACAGGAUUAGAUACCCGAGUAGUC